Molecule: ribosomal RNA, 429 nt
Filed under: Actinomycetes bacterium
Lineage: Bacteria; Bacillati; Actinomycetota; Actinomycetes
Description: Actinobacteria bacterium partial 16S ribosomal RNA
Rfam family: Bacterial small subunit ribosomal RNA
Source: RNAcentral
UAGGGAAUCUUCCGCAAUGGGCGAAAGCCUGACGGAGCAACGCCGCGUGAGUGAUGAAGGUCUUCGGAUCGUAAAACUCUGUUAUUAGGGAAGAACAAAUGUGUAAGUAACUAUGCACGUCUUGACGGUACCUAAUCAGAAAGCCACGGCUAACUACGUGCCAGCAGCCGCGGUAAUACGUAGGUGGCAAGCGUUAUCCGGAAUUAUUGGGCGUAAAGCGCGCGUAGGCGGUUUUUUAAGUCUGAUGUGAAAGCCCACGGCUCAACCGUGGAGGGUCAGUGGAAACUGGAAAACUUGAGUGCAGAAGAGGAAAGUGGAAUUCCAUGUGUAGCGGUAAAAUGCGCAGAGAUAUGGAGGAACACCAGUGGCGAAGGCGACUUUCUGGUCUGUAACUGACGCUGAUGUGCGAAAGCGUGGGGAUCAAACAGG